Molecule: non-coding RNA, 2588 nt
Organism: Aegilops tauschii subsp. strangulata
Lineage: Eukaryota; Viridiplantae; Streptophyta; Magnoliopsida; Poales; Poaceae
Source: RefSeq, a predicted model, not a curated record
CAUGGAAACCUUCUCGUCAAGGUCGCCUUUCCAUAUGCGGGCGCGAGGAGCGGUGAAAACCCUAGCCAAUCCUCUCUCGUCCCCGCGCCUCCAUUAUCCUCCCUCCACGCUAUCCUCCCGCGCCUCCCUCAUAGCCCCGGCGCGGCGCCGCCUCCACCACCUCCUCCUCUAUCUGCUUGCCUCCUCUCUCGCUCAAGAAGGCGGACCGAGCGGCGGCGGCAUAUUGUCCGUAGAUGGAGAAGGCGGACACGAGCGGCGGCGCCAUCUUGUCCGCGGAUGGCAGACGUGUUUCUUGCCGCCGCCGCUGCUCCUCUCCCUCGCCUCCUCUGCGACGCUUCCUCCUCUUCUCUUCUCCCGCUCCAGUCAUGGCGGUGGCGGCCGGGCCAGGCAGGGCGGCGGCGGCCGGGAACGGAGAAGCGGCCGGGCUGGGAGAGCGUCCUCGUCGCCUUCAACCUCCCCACGCGAGGAUGACAUUAGUCUGCAAUUGUACUCAAUGAACGAUAGCAGUUUUGUUUGCAAAUAGGUUCAGAAAUUUGGUUUCCUGCACACAUCAUAUCAAGAGGAAAAAGUAGGGACGGUGAAGCCUUGGGUUACAUGACAAAUGCAAAAAACUUUUCAAACAGGUGUGCCUGCAAUGGAACAUUGGAUUUCAGCAAUAUUAUUGGUUCUGCAUACAAGGAUACUAUCAAAUGGAGUUGAAAUUGUAGCUGCGUUAAGUUUGGUGACAUUUGCAAAGGAUUGGUUGAAAGAACAGAGUCACAAUACAGGAAAAUAAUAGUAAAACACGCAACAAAACAUAUAUCUGGAAAAGUUUACGCCGUACUGAUGGGUUGUUCUCCUGUUUUUGACUGCAUCCUUGUGCCGUCGUUACAAGCGAUUUCCCUUCACUACAGCCCCUUUCAUGUCGUCGUUACAAGAGAUUUCACAGUUUCCCCUUGUUACCAUGUUCUCAGUUAAAAUGCAGUUGUAGUGCUCCAAAGGCUAAACCUUGAAAUCAAAUGUAAUUUUGAAGCCAUUCUUGAUUAUUUUGCCAGCUGCGGUACAUGAUCAGAACUAAGGCGACAAUGGCCAGACUAGAUAAGUUAUUCAUUCAAUGUUUUUCUACAUCCCGAUUAAUGGGCAGUUUGGAGAGCGUUGUGUAAUCUCUACUUUAAUGAACUAUAUUAUAUCGGUUAUUUUAUUCUUCCUUUUUUUAUUCAUUGGCUUUACUACUUUAUAGGCACCUACCAGAGGCUAUAAGGAAAGUGAGCUUGAAUUAUGGUGCAGGAUGUCAGUAAAAUAUGUGAAUGGAUCAAGAAUUGUGUAUGUAGAUAUUGAUGCAAGUUGGUUGCAUUUUAGAGAUUGAACAACACCUGCUUCGUGUUUGUGUAGAAAGAGGAUGGCAUACUUUGCAUAAACUUGUGUAAUAUAUCAUUGUUUUAUUUCUGGGUCAGCAUUGAUUUUUUUCUCCAUUCAAAGAAAUUGUUUGCUAAAAGGGACAAAUAACCAUCUUAUAUUUCUAGAUAAUAUUCAGAUUCAUUAAAAUAGUGGUUUCAAGUGUCGCAUUCAAUACUAGAGUAGUAAGGAUUAAGGUACAGAACUUUGUAUGUUGUGUAAGAAUAAAACCAUUUGUUUAUCUUGCCAAGUUUCAGUAUUAUUACUUAUGAUAUCAUUCUACCAAUUGAUGAUAAGACAAUUGCCUAGAAAGAGCAGCGAUAAGACAAUGUACAAAGACACAAUAUAGUUAUAUUUUGCAUUUCUAGGGGAAAUUGCUGCUCAUUGAUAUUUGUUUGAGCUUCUAAUUUCUGUUUCCCCUAGAGUAUUGUUAAUGCUUUACCUUUUAUAUUAUAUAGUUCAAGCACUCAGAAGAACUUCUCUUGUCGUAGGUCUGGUGCAUAGAUUUAAUUGACACAUUGCCAGUUUGGACAACACCUUCAAACAUUAUCUCGGAAAGAGUUCAUCUGCACAACAAGACUUGGAUGGAAAGGCCUUUCUGCCCCAGCACAACAUAACUCCUGGGGUCAUAUUCGGCCUCCCAAGGUCCUACUAGGGUUGUUCUUUCUAAGGGUGAAGCAUUGACUGUUGUGCCAAUGCCGGGCAAAAGGAAUAGCUCUCUUGAAGGACAAAAUGCUGUAACUCCUCUUCAUAUACAAGAUAGAACUUAUGACUUCAAUUCCGGUGAUAGAAAUAGCCAGAUGGAUCACGAAAACAUUGUGAAGAUGGUGAGAUAUUGCAAGGAGUCUGAUCUGUUCUGAGGAAUGCUUGUCUUUGAGUACCAGCCAAAUGGGACCCUCUACUAGCAUCUUCACGAUGGGAAAGGAUGUUAACUAUCUUGGCCAUGGCGGGCGAAGAUUGUGCUCAGCAUCACGCGCAUUCUAAGACACUUGACACUGAGCCGAUGGCUCUGUUCGCGCUCCCCGUGUUGACGGCCAGUUCAGUCUAUUAGUUAUAACAUGGCUUCUUCACUGCAGUUGACAACGAAGACUGCAGGGUGAAAACCCCACAGCAAAUUUAUUGAUUAGUAAAGUCAUAUACAAAAGAUUUGCAAAGGUUAGAGAGUCAGCUAGCUAUAACAGAGAGUCAAUCCAUAUUGCAAACUGUUGUGAGUA